GCCUGGCUAACUCAGUCGGUAGAGUAUGGGACUCUUAGUCCCGAAGUUGUGGGUUCAAGCCCCACAUUAGGUA
Molecule: transfer RNA, 73 nt
Filed under: Chlamydotis macqueenii (Macqueen's bustard)
Lineage: Eukaryota; Metazoa; Chordata; Aves; Otidiformes; Otididae
Description: Chlamydotis undulata macqueenii tRNA
Rfam family: tRNA
About the family: Transfer RNA (tRNA) molecules are approximately 80 nucleotides in length. Their secondary structure includes four short double-helical elements and three loops (D, anti-codon, and T loops). Further hydrogen bonds mediate the characteristic L-shaped molecular structure. tRNAs have two regions of fundamental functional importance: the anti-codon, which is responsible for specific mRNA codon recognition, and the 3' end, to which the tRNAs corresponding amino acid is attached (by aminoacyl-tRNA synthetases). tRNAs cope with the degeneracy of the genetic code in two manners: having more than one tRNA (with a specific anti-codon) for a particular amino acid; and 'wobble' base-pairing, i.e. permitting non-standard base-pairing at the 3rd anti-codon position.
Source: Rfam by way of RNAcentral